RNAcentral lists this ribosomal RNA (460 nucleotides) under uncultured bacterium. RNAcentral's name for it is "partial 16S ribosomal RNA". It matches the Rfam family "Bacterial small subunit ribosomal RNA", at positions 338 to 795 of the family's 1533-position model. The record is from RNAcentral.
CCUACGGGUGGCAGCAGUGAGGAAUAUUGGUCAAUGGACGAGAGUCUGAACCAGCCAAGUAGCGUGAAGGAUGACUGCCCUAUGGGUUGUAAACUUCUUUUAUAUGGGAAUAAAACGUUCCACGUGUGGGAUUUUGUAUGUACCAUAUGAAUAAGGAUCGGCUAACUCCGUGCCAGCAGCCGCGGUAAUACGGAGGAUCCGAGCGUUAUCCGGAUUUAUUGGGUUUAAAGGGAGCGUAGGUGGAUUGUUAAGUCAGUUGUGAAAGUUUGCGGCUCAACCGUAAAAUUGCAGUUGAAACUGGCAGUCUUGAGUACAGUAGAGGUGGGCGGAAUUCGUGGUGUAGCGGUGAAAUGCUUAGAUAUCACGAAGAACUCCGAUUGCGAAGGCAGCUCACUGGACAGCAACUGACGCUGAGGCGCGAAAGCGUGGGGAGCAAACAGGAUUAGAUACCCUUGUAGUC